RNAcentral lists this ribosomal RNA (185 nucleotides) under uncultured Prevotella sp. RNAcentral's name for it is "partial 16S ribosomal RNA". It matches the Rfam family "Bacterial small subunit ribosomal RNA", at positions 592 to 776 of the family's 1533-position model. Lineage: Bacteria; Pseudomonadati; Bacteroidota; Bacteroidia; Bacteroidales; Prevotellaceae. The record is from RNAcentral.
UUGUGAAAUGCAGGUGCUCAACAUAUGCAGUGCAGCGAGAAGUGGUCCACUUGAGUGUGCGCACCGCGGGCAGAAUUCGUCGUGUAGCGGUGAAAUGCUUAGAUAUGACGAAGAACUCCGAUUGAGAAGGCAUCUUGCGGGAGCACAACUGACGCUGAAGCUCGAAAGUGCGGGUAUCGCACAGG